AGCAGCCGCGGUAAUUCCAGCUCCAAUAGCGUAUAUUAAAGUUGUUGCAGUUAAAAAGCUCGUAGUUGAAUUUCGGGAUCAAUAUAUCGGUCGUGCCUUUGGUACGUACUGGUAUCAUUGAUUUCUCCUUUCUGACGAAUCAUGAUGUCAUUAAUUUGGUGUUAUGAGGAGUUAGGACUGUUACUUUGAAAAAAUUGAGUGUUUAAAGCAGGCAUUAGCUUGAAUACAUUAGCAUGGAAUAAUGAAAUAGGACGUUUGACCCUAUUUUGUUGGUUUUUAGGAUCGACGUAAUGAUUAAUAGGGAUAGUUGGGGGCAUUAGUAUUCAAUUGUCAGAGGUGAAAUUCUUGGAUUUAUUGAAGACUAACUACUGCGAAAGCAUUUGCCAAGGAUGUUUUCAUUAAUCAAGAACGAAAGUUAGGGGAUCGAAGACGAUCAGAUACCGUCGUAGUCUUAACCAUAAACUAUAGCCGACUAGGGAUCGGGAUGAUGUUAAUUUUUUAAUGUACUUCACUUCGGCGCCUUACGGGUAAAACCG
RNAcentral lists this ribosomal RNA (536 nucleotides) under uncultured Glomus. Its description in RNAcentral is "SSU rRNA". It matches the Rfam family "Eukaryotic small subunit ribosomal RNA", at positions 569 to 1100 of the family's 1831-position model. The record is from RNAcentral. Lineage: Eukaryota; Fungi; Glomeromycota; Glomeromycetes; Glomerales; Glomeraceae.